RNAcentral lists this long non-coding RNA (967 nucleotides) under Triticum aestivum (bread wheat). Its description in RNAcentral is "long non-coding RNA (TAES_LNC010393)". Lineage: Eukaryota; Viridiplantae; Streptophyta; Magnoliopsida; Poales; Poaceae. The record is from RNAcentral.
UUAACUUUAGCAAUUAAUUUACCUCAAACAAGGUAAUUAAUAUGAUAAUUAUCCCCUGUGUAUACCGCAAGUAAGUAACUUACUAUAAUUAUGUUAAGAAAUUAGAAUGUUUGUGACCGACUGUUUAAUAAGAUGCUCUUUUCACAAGGUGUGAUAUUGUGGCAUAUUUACCCUGGAGCUAGCAUAUAUAUGGAGCUGACUUUGUUCCUGGAGGUGAGCAUAUAUUGUUGAUCUUCUCAUUUCAAUUGCAGCAGUUCCUUGAUUCACAAUUUAUAUAGUGUGGUAUAGUGGUUGUAUUUGGAGGUUUAUCCCUGUGAAAUAAUCACCGCAAGGUGAGCACUUUCUGCAGCUAAUGUGUUAUGCAUAAGCUCAAUGUGUUUGGUCAACUAACUACUGCUCAAUUAAAAUUGGUGACCUUCCAUUGAUGAUAGGUCUCGAAAUUAUGCAUUGAGUAAUUGGACCUGACCUAGAGUACUUGGUUAAUUUAGUGAUCUUUUAACAAAAUUUUAACUGAAUUAUUUUGGGCAAUGGAGUACUGAAUUUUAACUGAGUAACUUGCACUUGCAUAUGCACUAGACCACUUGUAAAUUCUUUGGCUCCUCUUUAAUCUGGUGUAAUUACUUAACUGACCGUAAUAGCCCUGACACUUGUAAGUAACCAUAUCAUUCAAACAUCCAAUUAAAUCUAUUCUACUCCAUUUCCUGAGAUGAAAUUGUGAUGAUGGGAGUGACAUUAAACAACUUGAACAUCUAAUUGUGCAUGUACUCCAUUCUUAUAUACUGAUCCAUCUUGUCUUUGCCCCAUGUUAACAUUCAAAUUGUUAAUUGCAUUCAAAGUGUUAAUUGCAGGAGCAGACACAGAGGAGGAAUCUGCUACCUCAAAGUAGUUGAUCGACGCCGGGAGGGUGGGUACGUGAUGUCGGAGGCUGCCGGGAGGGUGGUGACGAGUUACCGAAGAGAUGAGUUCU